UGGACCUGCUGUCAUUAUGAUAUGCUAGUAGAGUAUUAGGUAUGUCUGGACCUGCUGUCAUUAUGAUACGCUAGUAGAGUAUUAGGUAUGUCUGGACCUGCUGUCAUUAUGAUACGCUAGUAGAGUAUUAGGUAUGUCUGGACCUGCUGUCAUUGUGAUCUGCUUGCAUGCAGGAGACAGAGCUGACCUCUACCUCAUAGAUACCAGAGAUCCAAAAGUGUUCUUCUACUAUCCCAUUAGGAAAAUCCUUUUUUGUUCCAGGGAGAACCAUUUUGGGUUCCACGUCAGAACCCUCUGUGGAAUGGGUUCUACACGGAACCCCAAAACAAUUCUACCUGGAACCAACAAGGGUUCUUGAAAGAGUUCUCUCCUUUGGGGACAGAUGAAUAACCCUUUUAUGUUCUAGAUGGCAUCUUUUGUUCUAAGAGUGUAGGGAAUCGGGUGCAAUUUGAAGAGCAUCAUAAACCCCAGAGGCUUUAUAAGAGGCUUAAUGACAAGUGGUUGUUUUCUCUGGAGACUAACCGCAGCUGGGUGCAGUGGGCAGGUGCUGUCCUAGCAGGGCAUAGGAGGUACGGUCUAUAAUACACUACAGUACAGCUCUCAGCUCAGAUAAUGGAAGCUGCCUGGUCCCGCUACUCUACAGGGAUUACAGCGGAUUAUGUUCCUGCUGUGUUUGCCUGUCAGACAUGUCCUUUUUUACUGCCCAUUUGAUUGUGCUGUAAAGUAGGACUUUAUUUUCUCCCGUCGUGUGUUGAAGAGACUGGACGUGACAAGGCUCCGAGAUUGUCCCAGGGAAAGCUGUUGUUCCAAGGCAUCUAAGUUCAAACACACAAAGAUUUCCUGUCACAGAAGUAUUGUGAUGCUAAUCUAGAUGUUAUGAAACAGUCCCUCUAUUCUAGAAGGAAGCCUCGAUGGUUUCUGCUUUUUGGGCUAUCUGUACUUUACUAUUCAUAUUUUUGUCAACUUUUACUUUUAUUUCACUGCAUUCCUAAAUAAAUAAUGUACUUUUUUUUUACUCCAUACAUUUUUCCCUGACACCCAAAAGUACUCGUUACAUUUUUGACAGGAAAAUGGUCCAAUUCACACACUUAUCAAGAGAACAUUCCCGGUCAUCCUUUCUGCCUCUGAUCUGGAGGACUCACUAAAUACAAAUGCUUUGUUUGUAAAUUAUGUCUGAGUGUUGGAGUGCGUCCCUGCUGUCCGUCAAAAAAAAGACGAGAACAUUUCGGGGCGGCAGGUAGACUAGUGGUUAGAGUGGAGGGGAGGCAGGUAGACUAGUGGUUAGAGUGGAGGGGCGGCAGGUAGUCUAGUGGUUAGAGUGGAGGGGCGGCAGGUAGUCUAGUGGUUAGAGUGGAGGGGCGGCAGGUAGCCUAGUGGUUAGAGUGGAGGGGAGGCAUGUAGCCUAGUGGUUAGAGUGGAGGGGCGGCAGGUAGCCUAGUGGUUAGAGUGGAGGGGCGGCAGGUAGCCUAGUGGUUAGAGUGGAGGGGUGGCAGGUAGCCUAGUGGUUAGAGUGGAGGGGAGGCAGGUAGCCUAGUGGUUAGAGCGGAGGGGCGGCAGGUAGACUAGUGGUUAGAGCGGAGGGGCGGCAGGUAGUCUAGUGGUUAGAGUGGAGGGGCGGCAGGUAGCCUAGUGGUUAGAGUGGAGGGGAGGCAUGUAGCCUAGUGGUUAGAGUGGAGGGGCGGCAGGUAGCCUAGUGGUUAGAGUGGAGGGGCGGCAGGUAGCCUAGUGGUUAGAGUGGAGGGGCGGCAGGUUAGAGUGGAGGGGCGGCAGGUAACCUAGUGGUUAGAGUGGAGGGGCGGCAGGUAGCCUAGUGGUUAGAGUGGAGGGGCGGCAGGUAGCCUAGUGGUUAGAGUGGAGGGGUGGCAGGUAGCCUAGUGGUUAGAGUGGAGGGGAGGCAGGUAGCCUAGUGGUUAGAGCGGAGGGGCGGCAGGUAGACUAGUGGUUAGAGCGGAGGGGCCGCAGGUAGCCUAGUGGUUAGAGCGGAGGGGCGGCAGGUAGCCUAGUGGUUAGAGUGGAGGGGCGGCAGGUAGCCUAGUGGUUAGAGUGGAGGGGCGGCAGGUAGCCUAGUGGUUAGAGUGGAGGGGGGCAGGUAGCCUAGUGGUUAGAGUGGAGGGGGGGCAGGUAGCCUAGUGGUUAGAGUGGAGGAGCGGCAGGUAGCCUAGUGGUUAGAGUGGAGGGGAGGCAGGUAGCCUAGUGGUUAGAGUGGAGGGGAGGCAGGUAGCCUAGUGGUUAGAGUGGAGGGGCGGCAGGUAGCCUAGUGGUUAGAGUGGGGGGGCGGCAGGUAGCCUAGUGGUUAGAGUGGAGGGGCGGCAGGUAGCCUAGUGGUUAGAGUGGAGGGGAGGCAGGUAACCUAGUGGUUAGAGUGGAGGGGCGGCAGGUAGCCUAGUGGUUAGAGUGGAGGGGCGGCAGGUAGCCUAGUGGUUAGAGCGGAGGGCCAGUAACCAAAAGGUUGCAAGAUCGAAUCCCCGAGCUGACAAGGUAAAAAUCUGUCAUCCUGAACAAGGCAGUUAACCCGAAAAUAAGAAUUUGUUCUUAACUGACUUGCCAAGUUAAAUAAAGGUGAAAUACAUUAUUUUUUUUUAUGAUACUGAAGUACAUUUUAGCAAUUCCAUUUACUUUUGAUACUUCAGUAUAUAUAAAACCAAAUACUUUUAGACUUUUACUCAAGUAGUAUUUUACUGGGUGACUUUCACUUUUACUUGAGUAAUUUUCUAUGAAGGUAUCUUUACAAUUGAGGUACUUUUUCCACCACUGGAUGAAAUUGUCCUGUUUGGCUUUACAGUGGAGUUGUUAAUACCAGACACAGACUUGGGACCAGGCUAGCCAAAGGAGCAACACUUCACGUUAAGUUGCCCUUCUGUCAAACUACAACUCUCGCUGAUAAACAAAUAGUAUUCAGCUGGACGGAUAAGGUUCAUGAAACAAUGGUUCCAUUUUAAAGGGAAUGCGCCAAGUUCUAGACAUUUCUAUAUUGACACAUGGCAAAUAUUUUAAGAAGCUUCUGGGCCGUGACAGAGGUAGCAUGAAUGUUGAGAUGACACACACAUAAAAGAGAUCUAUCAGAAUGUGACACUAACCAACAGCAGUAUUAAUGUUCCGGGCCGCUGUAUAAUUCAUUGUGUUUUCACCGUGUUUUGGAAUAUUGGUGAAAUGGAACAAAGACUCUUUAUUCCAGGCUAGGCCCAAAUGACACUCUAUUCACCUAUGUAGUGCACUAUACAGAGAAUAGGGUUCCAUUUGGGACGCGUUCUAGGUUGUUCCACUGUCCACAAGGACACGGCAGAUUACUCGGGGCCGGGGCCGGGGCCCAGCCAUGUAAACACAGGUGUGUCACUUCAGUUCAGCCAGUUGUUAUCGUUAAACUUGAUCUAGAUUCUAAUGUUGUUGGACUCAAUACUUGGGACUGGAUUGUGUAUUUAUAUGUAUUUAAGCAUUUCAAAUAUGAUGAAUCUCAUUAUUACCAGGUAAAUGUGUUAACAGUAUAUUGUUUCUAUGGUGGAAGCUCUAGUCUCGAUCUCAGUGUUUUCUGAUCGGAUGAAUUGAGUUGUUUUUAUAUAUUUCAAAAAGAGAUAAAACAGAAGAUUUUCUGCUGAUUUUUAAAAACAGUCCUAUGCUGUUUCUCUGGUGCGUAGGAGCUCUACUCUUCGUGGCAGGAUCGAGCUCUGCUCUAGUCUCUCUGGUGUUGAUGGCAUCGUGUCAGUGCACGUCAACAUUCACCAUCUCCUCUGGGAUCGCUGCCAAUCACAUAAAUCCUCCUCACUUUAAUUCUCAGUACAUUUCCACAUGAAUGUCGCUGCUGACUGCUUGACUAAUAGGCCUUAGGCUAUUCAUAACAGAUUUAUUAACACAUUCGUAUCACGUUUAUUAACACAUUCGUAUCACGUUUAUUAACACAUUCAUAACACAUUAACACAUUCAUAACACAUUAACACAUUCAUAACACAUUAACACAUUCAUAACACAUUAACACAUUCAUAACACAUUAACACAUUCAUAACACAUUAACGCAUUCAUAACACAUUAACGCAUUUAUUAACACAUUUAUUAACACAUUAACACAUUCAUAACACAUUAACACAUUCAUAACACAUUAACACAUUCAUAACACAUUUAUUAACACAUUCAUAACACAUUAACACAUUCAUAACACAUUCAUAACACAUUAACACAUUCAUAACACAUUAACACAUUUAUUAACACUAACACAUUCAUAACACAUUAACACAUGCAUAACACAUUAACACAUUCAUAACACAUUAACACUAACACAUUCAUAACACAUUAACACAUUUAUUAACACAUUAACACAUUCAUAACACAUUAACACAUUUAUUAACACAUUAACACAUUCAUAACACAUUAACACAUUUAUUAACACAUUCUCUUUAUGAACUAUGAGUUUGACCCCAAAAGAAUUGAGAUGUUUUGAUGUCAGUCUUUAAAAUUAAGGAGAAUGUAUACACUGAGUUUACAAAACAUUAGGAACACCUCUUUCCAUGACACAGAACACGUGUCAAAACAUUAGGAACACCUCUUUCCAUGACACAAAACACGUGUAAAACUCGUUCCAUGGAGGGCGGAGUGUUUGCGGGUUUUCACUCCAUCCUUGUACUUAAUUGAUGAAUUCAGGUCACUAAUUAGUAAGGAACUCCCCUCACCUGGUUGGCUAGGUCUCCCCUCACCUGGUUGUCUAGGUCUCAGUAAGGAACUCUCCUCACCUGGUUGUCUAGGUCUCCCCUCACCUGGUUGUCUAGGUCUCAGUAAGGAACUCUCCUCACCUGGUUGUCUAGGUCUCUCCUCACCUGGUUGUCUAGGUCUCAGUAAGGAACUCCCCUCACCUGGUUGUCUAGGUCUCAGUAAGGAACUCUCCUCACCUGGUUGUCUAGGUCUCAGUAAGGAACUCCCCUCACCUGGUUGUCUAGGUCUCAGUAAGGAUCUCCCCUCACCUGGUUGUCCAGGUCUCAGUAAGGAACGCCCCUCACCUGGUUGUCUAGGUCUCAGUGAGGAACUCUCCUCACCUGGUUGGCUAGGUCUCAGUAAGGAACUCCCCUCACCUGGUUGUCUAGGUCUCAGUAAGGAACUCUCCUCACCUGGUUGUCUAGGUCUCAGUAAGGAACUCCCCUCACCUGGUUGUCUAGGUCUCAGUAAGGAACUCUCCUCACCUGGUUGUCUAGGUCUCAGUAAGGAACUCCCCUCACCUGGUUGUCUAGGUCUCAGUGAGGAACUCUCCUCACCUGGUUGUCUAGGUCUCAGUAAGGAACUCCCCUCACCUGGUUGUCUAGGUCUCAGUAAGGAACUCUCCUCACCUGGUUGUCUAGGUCUCAGUAAGGAACUCCCCUCACCUGGUUGUCUAGGUCUCAGUAAGGAACUCCCCUCACCUGGUUGGCUAGUUCUUAUUUGAAAGGAAAAACCAAAAACCCGCAGACCCUCGAUCCUCCGUGGAAUGAGUUUGACACCGCUUGAUGUAGCUUGGUCUAUAUCUGUACUUCAUUAAACCAGUUGUAGCUUGGUCUAUAUCUGUACUUCAUUAAACCAGUUGUAGCUUGGUCUAUAUCUAUACUUCAUUAAACCAGUUGUAGCUUGGUCUAUAUCUGUACUUCAUUAAUCCAGUUGUAGCUUGGUCUAUAUCUGUACUUCAUUAAACCAGUUGUAGCUUGGUCUAUAUCUGUACUU
This 5673-nucleotide long non-coding RNA is filed under the name Salmo salar (Atlantic salmon). RNAcentral's name for it is "lncRNA (ENSSSAG00000082600.1)". The record is from RNAcentral. Lineage: Eukaryota; Metazoa; Chordata; Actinopteri; Salmoniformes; Salmonidae.